Phasianus colchicus (ring-necked pheasant) is the source of this 13189-nucleotide non-coding RNA. Lineage: Eukaryota; Metazoa; Chordata; Aves; Galliformes; Phasianidae. The record is from RefSeq and is a predicted model, not a curated record.
GCUUUGAAUUUAGCUAAGCAAGAUUCAAAUCUUAUAUAUUCCAUUUUUGUAUGGAUAUAUUUUUGACAUAGAACUUAAAAGCUGCCAUUAAGUAAGAACUUAUGUUACAAAGUGAUGUUUAUAUGUAUUUUUCAUGAGAAGUUGUGAGACAGUAUGUGUGAAAAACAGGAAAUGUCAAGAACUACUAAACAACACUGACUUUUCCCACGUAAAUAGAACUCCCUGGAAAGUUCUGUAGCUAACAAUUACAGAACUGCUAGUUGCUGGUAUACCUAUACUUACCACUUUAGUCAGCAUUUUUGAAACUGUGCUUAUAAAUAGGCACACUGUGUCUGGAUUCAAUUAGAUUACACAGAUACGCAGUCACAAAAUUAACUUUAAAAUCCUUAUCCCUAGAAAAAGGAAAUUCUUGUGCUUUGUGGUAAUUUCUCAUUAGAUAAUUUAUCUUGGUUUUGUGGUGGUUGUGCAGUUUGAGAAAUGAGUGUCAAAACACUUUUACUGUGUUAUUCUGCCAAUUUUGGCAGUACUUUGGUGGAACAAGCAGUUGUCAGAUUUCAUAGAGCUCUUGAGAGAUUUCUGGAGGCCAGAUUAUUUUAUCAUGUAUAUUUCUGGUACCAUUGCUUGACUAGCAGUGCAGCUCUCAUUCUUUGUUUUAGACUACAGCUAUAUACCAGGGAGAUUUAGUAGGGGCAAACAACUACCAGUCUUCUGAGCUAAUGUUUUCUACUGCUAGAAGAAAAAUAUCGCCGCCAAAUAUUUCCACUUUCUGGACUGGAAAAUGCAGCCUUUCCCAAACUCUUUUUUUUUGUCCUACAGUUUUAAAAACAUUCUGAAAUUGCCUCAGCACCUUAGCCCAUAGCUUCCUGCCAGGGCAGUCAGUUUCCCAUAAAGUGUUCAGGUGCGCAUCUAGGGACAACAGAGCAAAGGAGAUUAAACUCUCCUUUCUCAGUCUUGCAUCUAUUGAUCAUUGCAAACAAAUAAUUGCUGUUAAACUAGGGUGUCUUUUGGGAAUGUUACUAGACUUUGUUUCUGUGUCAUUUGUUUUUUGUUCUUUCUAAAGUAGGUAACUUAUUUUUAAAUUUUAGCAUGCUUCCUAUUUUAGAGUUAUAUUCUCCCUGUUGCCAAUAUAGGGUAUUUGGUAAACAGUCUUUCUAAUAUUUCUGACACAGAAAUUAUAACCGUAGCAUCUAGGCACAUACAGGUUUGUAUUCUUAUACUUAAGUUUGUCUUUUUCUGAUCUCCUAAAUUAUUUAUACAAGUGUGAUGGACUAACUAAUUUGUUGGAAUGGACGAAGGGUUAAUUGUAAUUAACAUUCUUUCCUUGUGUCUUUUUCAAGGCUUUAAGCUAUCGUUGUAUUGUGCAGGCAUAAUACAGUGGUGCAAUGUUUUUUCUGUGUUAAGUAUUCUAGUUGAAUGCUUACCAAAUUUUUAGAUCUGCCAUUCUUUCUUUAUGAGUAUUACCUUCCAUAGGAGAACUUGACUUCUCCCACUUUCAUUGUCUUCCUAAGAACCUGCUGUAAGAGUGCCUGUGAUUGGGUUCUUAUGAGAUAGUUGUAUGUUACAAUCAGUGAAGCUACUCUUACUGCUCAAUUCAGUUAAGGAAGAUGAAUAUUGGAAUAUCUCUUAACUGGAAUUCAGAGCUGCAUCACACACAGCUCAAAUAAUGCUUCAGAAAGGUAGUGUGUUAGAGCUCGUUAGUUUUGUGGCCUGAGACAUUGUUCCUGUUUGCAGGGCAUUGAUGUUGUCCAGGAUAUCCAUUUUGGAGAUUUAAUUUUUGUUUCUUACUUUGCAAUACUUGGCAGUUUGGACAGUGUGUUAGGCUUUCUUCUUAUAAGAUGAAAACUGUUUCUUUGAUUUUUGUCAGUGUUGGUUUUUUGGUUUUUUUUUUUUUUUGAUCUGGGAAUAAGGGUGACCAUUUCUAGGUAUCUUUUAUUUGCUAAGAGUCAUAUUGGUCACUCUCACUGUUAUGUUAGAAGCUUAAUUACUCUCAUUAGUCAUUUUGCUGUUUUUGAUUCCUUGUCCUGGCCCAACUUGCAAAGAUUGACUGAAAGAAUUAUUAUUCCUCCCUGAAAAGUUUUUCUUUCCAAAGCAAGUAGUGAAAUUUGAUAUGUACUGGCUGAACAAGCACCAGAUUUGUGUAUUCAACUGGCUAAACUAUAGACUUUCCUUUUUGUCUCAAGCUAUAAUGCUAGUAUUGUCAUUCUUUUAAAUCUCCAGUCUUGGUAAGGAUGUGAUGCCAGAAAACGUGUUCUGUUUUGGAAGUAGUGUUUCAUCUGCCUUUCAUCUGUCGUACGAUUUAAAGAUUGCUAAUGGUAGUGCUUUUUAAGCAGUCCCACUAAAUACCUGUUGGACAGCACUCUGCAUUCUGAGACAACAGCAUCUGUAUUCUGUGAAGUUAGGUUCAAAAAAACAUCUCGUACUACCAUCAUAACGUUGAACAUAUCUCAGUAUUGCAUGGGGGCUGUCUUGUUUUAUCAGCAUUAAAUGGAGCAGUGUUACACAGAGUUUAAAGAGAAACUGGUUGGAAAAAAAAAAAAAAAAGAGUAUUAUUACCAUUAGAUCAACUUAUAAUUAGUUCUUGUACAGCUUUCUCCAUAUUGCAUUUAUUUGUAAUGUAAAUGGAUAUUCAGGUUAAUCUCUGGUAGUGGUCUUGCAUGUGUUUAUAGAGUGACAUAAGUGUGUGCACUGUUAGAAUAUAUAUAUUUUUUGUCCUCUAGACAAAAAUGCUAGUCCUAGUGCUUUAGGAGCUGUAUCCCAUAGUGUAUAGAUACUGAGAGAGUUUCCAGACACAGUAAUCUGUGCGAAAGAACAGACACAGUUAAGCAACCCAGAGAUCAAGGUGGUAGUCAUUGUGUUUAAUGUGAAUAACCAAGAGAAAUGUUGUAUAUGACUGUAUUGUUUAAUAUUUCCUAACUAAAACAAUAUUAAAUUUUUCUCUUCUUUGUUAAUCUAAGGUUAUCUGGCGUUUUAUCACUUUAAAGAGUCAUAGCAUCUGGUGAUAUCAGCUCUUACAGCUGAGCUGGCCAAGUAAAUAAAGUCCUGUGAGUACAGAACAGGUAUACUGGGCAAUUUAUUUUCUUUUUUAGAGAGAGAUUGAGUUAACAUAGUGGUUGUUUGAGUUGUUGGGCUAUUAAUGUGUGCCUUGAUACAAACUUUUGAUGUCUUGGGUAAUCUGGGUGACUCAUUCCCCUGACUAAAACGGGCUAAUAACACUUUCUAAUGUUACUCGGUGUGGGACAAAGAAAUAUAGUGAGUACCAUGACCAAUUAGAAUGGUAGGGUACCAGGACAAUGCAGAAACUUAGAAUAACUUUCCUGGGAACUAAGCUGUUUCACUGGGAGGACAAAGAUAGAUGAUAAAAAUGAAUUCUUCAUGAUUAAUUUUGUAAACUAUCCUUUUCCUAGUAAGUGUUACUAAUGAAUAUGUGUCAACACCCCCCUGAUCUGUAGUGACUAUUCAUGUAUUCAUGAAUAUUAUUGGUAGAUAACAGUAUUUAUGAAGAAGCCUUUGUAUUACAAAGCUUACUAUGCUUGAUUAAUUACAUCCAGCUAGUGUAUACAAAAUAUUCUUGUGCAAUUAGGGAAUAAUACAAUCUGAUCAAUUGUCAAUAACUGAUAUUUUUCUUUAAUGUUACUCAAAAUUGAAACCUUUGGUAAAACUACCUAACAACAAGCUUUACAGCCCUAGAAUAUCAACAGUAAAAUCAUAGCUUCCUUUAUAAAGCAGAGAUCAGAAGCAUAAUAAAAAUAUUUCUAUUACUAACUUCAGUUCUCUUUUAGCAGUUCAAGGAAGUUCGUUUUGUGCAGGGAAGUUACGUGUAGAAGAGGGAAAGCAGAUCAGUUUGCGUACUUCUUUCACAUCCUUCUACGGUUAUUAAGGCAUAAAACCACUACCUCAGCAGUGCUGUAACACCAGAUUCUUUUUGCUUUUGUUUUCUUACAGCUUCUCAGUGGGGAAAUGCAGGCAGUGAGGCCAGUAUGAGGGCUUAGUAGUGAGGGGACUAAUCUUACUGGCAGGUUUGUUAUGCUAAAAUAUCACAGGCUGGGAAGCAUCAAUCUUUUUGGGUACAACUCUUUUCCUCUCCUAUCCACUUUUUCUUCUUCAGAUUUCUGUUGAAAGCACAAAUCACUUGUGUUUACGUGUCAAAUCUAGACCAGAAUUUUUGAAAUACACGUAUGGAAUCAAUUGCAUGAUGGUUAGUCUCUGCUAGUAGUCAUCAUUUUCGAUAAAUUAGCAGAUGAUGUCCUACUCAGUAUUCCAUAGUUUCAGAUUGUCAGUGUUCUUAUACAAAUUGAAAAUGCACGUAUUCUGGGUAUUUGUGACAUGUUCUAACAGCUGUUGAAAAACAAGUUUUAGCCUUAAUGGUUUUUUCAUUUGGCAUUUUCAAUGCAAACUGACUCAAAACAGCCAGAGGUAUGCUUCAUUUCAGUCUUAUCCUUAGAGAGUACUUUAUCUUGUUUGGAAGGUUAGUGCAAAGUUCUGACACUGGUGAGCACAAGUGCAGCAUAGUCUAUCUUCUGAUAUGCAAUUAGAAUUACUUCAAAAUAAUUUUUUGGUCCUGGAGAUUCAGAAGCAUACUUUUAUUGAGCAUACAAUAUUCAACUUCCUUCAUAUAGUUAAAUUUCUGGCCGUUAUAUUGAUGAAUUUGAUUUGCUGUGGUUCAGUUCCUACCCCAAAUUCAGUUUUUCUCAGUCCCCUUGAAACUUGAAUGAGCUGGUAUCUGAUUUUAAUCCUUUAUUUCUUGGGGAGUUGUUCUUAGUGACGAUAUUUCUAUAUCCUCAAAGAUGCAGAUGACAUCAGUUGCAGUAUGUUAGAGAGGAACUUGGCAAAUCUCUUCAAUAUUACAUGUCUUCAGUGUAGGACCAGUUCAGAGUUCUGCAGCUGUAUCAAUUCUUCAAGAAUUGAGACGUUUCUGUCCCAGACCUGGAAAGAUUCCGCAUCUAUGGAUUAUCUCCUCAAAACUGGAAAUCCGUGUCUUGAACAAACUGAAGAGUGUGAACCUGCUGAUCUCUGAUAUACUGGUGUCCUUCCCAAACCAGAUAUGACCUACAGGUAGAUCUGGCCUCUUUGUGAAAUCUUGAGUGCAGCCAUGCGUGAAUGAGGCACACUUUUCCUUCAGUGAGCCAACAGCCUACGUUCUUGGAAACCAUUUGAAGUAUGCAGUGCAGUACACUUCCUGCAAAAGAAAAGACUAUCAGAUACAUACUUAUGCCUGUGUGGACAGUUGUUUUACGUGACAAUGAAAUUUGAAGACUGAGCUGUAGGAGGAAACUUGGCAGUGUGCUCCAGUGUCUGAUUUCUCUUUUUCCUGCUUUUUAAUAGGAUAGCAGUCACGUAUGUUCUGCAUGACUUCAGUACGUUGUUAGGACUUGAUUUUCUGUCAUUGCUCUGAUAUGCUGCUGCUCCUGCAGUCAGUUCUGCUGUUGUUAUCUCCUUCAUUUUGUUCCCCGGGGUUGUUAUUUCUGCAGGUUUUGGGUACCUGCAUUUAUGACAUUUCUCAAGUGUAUUUCAGGGGGUGUAUUUUAAUGCAAGUCGGUGGGGUGAAGUAAUAGUUUGUCAUUUGAUAUGAUGAUUUUGGCAGAGUUCUCUGAGCGUGAAACUAUAAUAGACUGGAUAUUAAGGAGCAGUGUUGAAGUUUCCUCACGUACUAUGAAAUGAUGUUUGUGUGAACUGUGAGAAUCCUAUUUCUCAAGCUGUGCUGAGCUGAAGAUGCUAAGCUUCACUUCCUUUUCUUGCAACUAGAGAGACAACAUGAGCAAGUGUUUUGGAGAGACUGAAAGUGUAUUCUUGCCUCUGCCACUGAGUUGAGACUGCUCUAUUGGCUUAAUCAAAGCUUUGUGUUUUUUUCUACUGUACUCCUGAGUGCACUCUUUAAAAAACCGUCUGGGAGAUGGAUGUGUUUUACUUUAUGUUCAGAUGAGAUCCAAGUGCAAUUGGUUUUUGGGUUGCUGUUGUAGUUAGAACAAUAAAUAUAUUACAUUCAUUAUUUAAUAUAUUAAUGCAGUUUCAAGGUGUUUACUUCUGUUCUGCUAACUGUAUUAUGUUUUCCUGGGAACCUGUAAAUUAGUAUGUCCAGCAAUUAAGUACGAGGACUAUCUAUCUACUCAUUGAUUAGUACUUCAUUAGUAUGGUUUGUAAGCAGAGAAAUAUAGCACCGCUGGUUAAAUCAUCCUGUUGUUUCUGUGGAGAACCUGAACUAUACAUUUACCUGUUUGUUACACUACCUAACAAUGUAAAUAUAAUGGUGCUAGCUUACAGCUGUGGCUGUCACAGAGAUACUGACUGGGAAUCAUGGAUGCAACAGAAGGGUGUUGUCCCAGCCAGGACAGGUAAAGACAAAGCAAAUUUCUUGAUCUAACAGCGCUUAGGAUUUUUGGAAGGAAGAUUUUACUCACAUUCAUCAAGUGCUCAACGCUUUAACCUUCUCUUAUUGACGUGCUACAGAAGGGAUCCUGGAGGUGUGCUUUUUAAAAGAGCCGUGUCAGAGGUCGUUUAGACAGUUCUUUGGUAAUCCAAGAACAUUAAAAGUUACUUCCAGAAACCAGUCACCUUUUCAAAGUAGUUUGGGGAUGAGAGAGUGCUACUGUUGAGCAGAGUAAAUGUGUGAGGUAGGGAGGGAAGCUGUCUAUUGUGUGUUACAGGCAGCGUACACUCAGGAGGACUGAGAGCUUGCAUGCUGUUUCAGUGGCAGGUCCACAAUGAGCUCAUAUAUUCAAAGAUCAAACUGUAUAUGUAUACUGAAAGCCUUUCUUCUUGCCUUUUGUCUGGUUUUAGAUAUGUUUAAUUAAAUUAAGAAUCUCUCUUGCAGAAGUUAGAUAUUGUUCAGACAUUGGGCUAGAUCAGUAGCCUCUCCCAGCAGGCAAGCAGAGCUUUCCACUGGCAAGCAGCUGCAGUGCCAAGUUGUGUCUGGCUGUGCAUGUGCUGCCCACCUCAUUUCCCAAAAGUAAAACCAUGGAUUGACACAGCUGCUUUAAUCAGGUGUAAGGGUGGAAGUGUGAUGAUAAGUACAUUUCCUCUGUGGCUGUGCCAGUGCUGCUUUGUGGAAAAAUACGCCCACUCUGAUUGUAAUAAGAAGCAUCAUAAAUCAGAAUUACUAUUAAAGCAGAACUGAGUUUAAUUUGGCUGAGAGACAGCGUUUUAUACAAAUGGAGAGCUUUCCCAUGAGAGAUUGAAUUACUCCACACUAGAAAAUCCCUUAAUUUUUUUCAGUUUAAAUUUUUAAAGUAAAUGGUGAAGUAGUGGAGCUCUAGCUAAACGUGCUAGUGCUGGGUGAGACCCACCAAUUUAGUUUCCUUAGGAAUUGUCUCUUGACACUUGAAAAUAAGCUUGUUUUUGUUUUGCAGUUCUUCUCUUGAAAAGGGUUUUUUCAAAGGUGACAGCUUUUCAAUAUUUAUGAAAUGAAGUUGUCUUUAUUUCUAAGUCCACGAACUCAGGAAAGAGCUCUUUCAAGACUAGAAGAAUAUAGCUGCUUUAUAAUUUUUAUAUUUUACUCUAACCAUAAGGGAACUGUAUGCACACACUGCAGAGGGGAGAUGGUGUAACCUUCUCCAUUAUAUCACAUUUGCACCCUGAGACCUUGCCAUUGCAUUGCCCUUGUCUGCUGGAGGUGCUGUGUAACUGUGUGAACAGACAAAUGGAAAUCAGUAGGCGCCGAAUUUGUUUGACAUGGAUGAGCUGUGUGAUUCAGAGAGGGAGAACUGCAGGCAUAAAGCAUUCAGGAAAUACAGUGAAGCAGUCAAAACUCAGAAGCAUAUUUAGAUGUCAGCAUCUCUGCCAGGAUUCGAUAACACGUACAUGAAAAUGGGCAAGGUUUUCCAUAACUGAAGGUUUGUUGGACACAUUGAGGGCAGGAUUCAGAGCUAACUAGACUUAAUUAGUUGGUUCUAUCUUUGUAGUACAGACAGCAGCAGCUGGACCAAAUGUAGCUGGUGAAACUCUGGAGAGUGACACAGAAACUCUACAGAUACUAUGCAGUGAAUGAAUCCUGGAGGUGCAUUUUUAAAAAGACCCAUGUCAGAAGUCUGUUGGGUGCUUCUCUGGUAAUCUGAGAACAUUAAGAGGCACUUUCAGAAAGUCACUCUAUAGUGCAGCAGGGGUGAACUUGCAUAUCUCUUCCUGCACAUAUCAGUUUGUCUUCAGGUAUGAGUUCUCUGCUCUGAGCUUAACAGGUUAUUUCUGCAAACUGCUUCUCUUUCAUUAUGAACUUAAUUGAGUAAUGAAGACAUUUUAAGGAAUAUGUAGAUUACUGAAUUAUAAACAUUUUCUACUAUGAGACUCCACGUUUUUGCCAAGUAAAAUAUGUGGUAGUUAAUUCUCCACAAAAUAUGUUGUUGCACCUUAUCAGGGCAGAUACACAUUUUGGGCCAACCACUGUGAAAACUUAAAGAUCCAUUUGGAGAACAGAUUAAGUAUUCAAACCGGCCCAAUGUUUUCAUUGGCAAUGUGAUAACAGAGAUAAACACUGUUAUUGUUGAAGAUACAUCCAUUUUUAAGUGAAAAAUAAUUCUUAGGGAAGAUAUUCUGAGGAAGAACGAUAUGAAACAUGGAUCUAUUUUUGUUGUUUGGGGUCGGAGGGUUAGUGGUUGGUGACUUUUCUCAUUUUGUUUUUGUUUUUGCUUCCUUUCCUCUCUCUGUCUUUCUCCCUUUCUUUUCACUUCCUGGCACUUAACCCUUCCUAAAGGAUGUUGAUGUGACAGUUCUGUCCUACUCACAACAGCUCCUAUAAUGCUGAUUUCUGUUCUCAAGUAUCUCAAGUUUCCAGUAUCUUGAGUUUCCAGUGUCACUACUUUUCAGGAUCAGGGGAGAGCAAGAACAGUAACUGGUUGAAAUCAAAUCCUGCCUGCAUUCUGAAGAGUGACAUUUUAGCAUAUGGUAUGUUGUCUGUCACAUUUCUCUAGGUGUCACAGCAAACUUGAGGUGCUUAAGAGUAUUCCCUCUAGACCAUGAGCAAAAAGAGUAUCUGUCCUGUAUAUAUUAGCCUUGGCCAGUCCUGAAAUGAAAUUUCCAAUCUGGAGACAGACAUUUGUAUAAUGAUGGUUGAAGAGAGCAGUACUGCACGUGCUGUCAGCAGACUAUACUGAAUUUGUCCAGAUGAAAGGUUUCUUGUGGAUACUUUACAGUGUACCAUUGUUAGAAGGUAGCUGCAAGUUACAGUAGUUUCUAAUAGAACACUGUUUCCCUAAAAGGAAUCUGUUCAGAUGCAGCAUAUCCUAAAAAGAGAUAAAAACAUUUCUUUGGGAUUUUUGUCUGUUUUUAGCAAAUGUCAUAGCAAGUGGGAUUCCCCUGAAUGGGAAUCUACCUGUCUGUGUAGCAGAUUAUAUAAGAUAGCUCGUGGUUGAGUAUGGCACAGUAUAAAAGUUUAUUAAUUAUUAUUAUAGUAUCAUCCUUAGACUUUUCAAAAGCAAUUGAUAUAUUGUAUGGUAUGGGGUAUCCUCCAUCAAUUCUUUAGAUGUUUUCUAGUCUGAGAGCCACAAGCCUUCUCUCCCUCUGCUUUAUGACAUUCCUUGCAUCAGCACAAAGGUAGCAUGAAACGCCCCCAAAUCCAAAACUCAGCUCCUGGCAUCGAGCGCAUGCUGGUUCUAAUAAUAGGAUGGCAACGAGUUGUGUGCAAAAGCAGCCUAAAGGCAUUGCUAAUCGGGCUACUGUCAGGCUUUGGUACAUUGUGAAAAUGCUGCUGAAGUGUCAUGGGAGAAGUCUCAUUGCUUGGCAAUGUUUUGUGCAGUCUCUAACAUUCUGUUACUUUAUACAUUACAUCAGUGAUAUACUUUACAUUAAGUUUUUAAUAUAAAAUAGUGCUCUGUACCUGUUUAGUAUUGGCAAAAACUUGGAAUAUGUGAAAUCUGUGUAACAAAGAGAUGCAAUACUGAUGGUGGUUGCUUAUGUACAUUAGCUGGAUGUUGUCAUUUGUCCUCAUCAUUUUGUUCUUCUUUCUGUAGCAGUCCCUGCCUCUGAUUCCCCCAGGGUGUGGGAAAUAGAAGUGAUAUUUGGGAAUGGGUUUGGUAAUAAAACAGCAAGGUGUAGCACAACUGAAAUUUCUAAAGCAGCCCAGCAAUAGGCAAGAAACUCAGCACAGGCACCUGUCUUCCUGGUGAGCCCUGCCUGAACAUUCCACUGCCUUUUUGCCAGCACAGCUUGCUUAAGGCUGGCCCAGCCACCUCACUUCACUGUUACCUGUGGUGACAGCAGUACCCUGGGAUGCCUGCCCUCUGCUCCUCACAGGGCUGGCUGUGGGAAUGUGCCACUAAGUGCAAUGGUAACACUGCCUGGCACUCUGUGGCUGGCUGAGGCAGGAGGAGGCUGCUGUAUAUGAGAAGCAUCAAAAAUGGCUUGGGAACAGAGAUAAUUGAUUGACCCAGGGAGAUUAAAAGAAUUGAGUCUGGACAGACAAUUACGAUGGGGCAAGGCAAGGCAAUGGAGCAGAGACUGUUACAGAGGAAACUGGCAGGAUGAGCUGCUAGGCUGUGCAAACUUUCUGUGAUUUUGGCUUAGAGUGGGGUGAGUGUGUACACUGCAUAAUGUUUAACUAGCUCACAUUUUGUUUCUCUGAACUCUAAUAAAACAUCAGGAAACUGAAGGCUUCUGCUAAAAUGAAGGGAGCCUGACAACCUGCUGAGAUGUUGCACCUGUGAGCUGGGGAAAAACUGCCACAGAAGGUUUCUGUUCCUUAGACACACUGGUACGUCACAAAAACACUGGUGCCAGGGAGAGGUUGAGGCCCUGGAUUCUUCUCAAGCAACCUUCGUAUACAUAUCUAGUGGCAUCAUGCCUUUACAAAGAAGAGACUGCAUCUUGCCGUGUUUGUUGCCUGCCAGAGCAAGUCUGCCCUCCCUGCCCUCACAUACAUAAAUAUUUGUGGUUGUUUCUGAGUCUCCAGAGCUCUGCACCUUGUGGCCCUGCAAGCGCACACAUCAGCAGUAGAGCAGAGGAGGACAGCCAGCUGCAGAUGUGCUCUGGCAGAUAGCAAACAUGGUAGGAAGCAAUUUCUUCUGCAUGAUGGUGCGAUGCCAUUGCCUCAUCUCUUGGAUCAGGCAGCAAAUGAAUGUAAAAGGAUGGGAGAAAGGAAUGGGGUCAGGAGCUGGAAGCAAGAGGUUGAUUGCUUGGGUGUGCUCUCCCCAAGCAGAGACUGUGAGCAAGCAGAAAUAAAUUGUGUUUGUGAAUAGAAGAUAGAUGUGGUCUGACCUUGCUUACUGAGGAGUUUAAUGAAGGUUUAGAAAGCGACAUCUGUGGAUGAAAAUAUUUGCCUAAUUUUGAUCUUUGUUUUUCUUUACAUAUUGCUAGAAAAAAUGUUGCUUUGGAUUUUUGACCAGGGAAUGAGUACAGAGGAGAGGGAACAGCUGGCUGCUCUGGAUUCUGUAUUUUAACCAAGCUUAUAUGGACUUAGAGCUCUCAUUAGAGUUACCAGACAAGUAAGUCACAAGCUCAACUUGUCUGCCAUCUCCUCAGAUGAAGGGAGCAGUUGAUUGUUGGAAUGGCUGUGUUGGUGCCCCUUGCUCAUUUUAAGUAACUUUAUUUUUACAGGUACAAAAAAUGUCAUGAUUACAUGGAUGGGCAGCAGUGCUUGUUCUGGCUCACUGUUUCUGCUUGUUGAAACAUUGGAAGAGCUACAAAUUUUUCUUUUCUUUUUUUAGUAUGUGGAAGGUCUGAGUUGCAGCAAAUGUACAGGGCUUGGACAUUUCCAAGAUGUGACAGAGCCUUAGGGCAAGAAAUGAAAGGUUGUGCUCUGCUGGGCCUGAGCUGCUGCUCAGGGAGAACAAGGAUGAAAUAAGGGUUGCAUAGGGAAGAACUUCUUAUUGUUCUUCUUUUGACAGCUGGCUAAUCUUUCUGAGUUUGGAAUGCUUUAGUCAAGAGGCAUAGAUGGAGUAAUGAUGUGAAUGUGUGGCUGACAGAAUGCCCUGCUGCUUAAUGGCUAUUAAGAAAAUACCACAGAAUUUUUUUAUUUGUUUUUGUUGUUGUUUUUUAAUUAACUCAGUGUUGCAGGCACAAGGGGUGUGACUACAGCUGCGGGAAAGAUUUCUGAGUUCGUAGUUCCUCAAGUAAAACAUUUCUGAUUGCUUAAUAUUUAUCUCGAUUAAAUUGGCCUCUGGUGCCAGAGAAAACAUUCUUUGGGUUCAACAGGUCCUGAGGCAAAGAAACUUUAUUAUGUUUUGGGCAGGAUCUGUCAAACACUGCCAGGUACAGUGCUAUAUACCUAACCUGAAUCUUCCUGGCAGAUGAGGGCCUAAGCUAGAAAGCACGCAGCGAGGAUGAAGGCCAUGGUAGUCUGUUUUUCAUCAAAAGCUUGAGAUCACAGCAGCAACACAGAGCUGGAAGAGCAAGAGAAGUUUGGGGCUCUGAAACAAACUGGGAGGGUAAGACAAAAGUGCAGCUGAAGAACUUGGAGAGCCAGUUGAGGAGGAGGAAAAGAUCAGGGGAAGAGGAAGGAAGCACACCUCCCCAUGCAGAAGAUAGAGAAUUGUACUCUGAUCUCAUGUACUGCAAGAAGAGCAUCCAGCUCCAAAGCUGAUACACCAUGGGCAAGACAAAGGAAAGUUCCAGUUCUGAAUUUGCAGCCAGAAUUCAGGAACCAGAGGAAGGAGCUCAGGAGGUUGUACCUUUCAGAACAGCUGUGGAGCUGCAUUGUGACAAAGGACUGAGAUGGAUGAGUUUCAAGGCUGGGAGUCACCUGGGAGGAGCAUGCUGAUGAGGUGUUGAUGGAGAGGUGACCAUGUCACACCACUGCUUGGGCCAGGAGCAUCCUACAGGCGUUUGCCAAACGCAAACUGAAGCAAAAGGAUUCUGGACGAAAGAAGUGAAACACUGGACUGCUGAAGUGCACAGUGAGGAAAAAACUGGGAGAAGAAUGUGAAGGAUUCCUGGCCUCAAUAGAAGGUAAAAAGUCAUAAAAUAGCAGGGAACAAAAGCUAUUGGAAAAGGGCCAUAGUAUCUGUUGUGCAAAGGAAAGCAGGAUUUGACUGUGCCACAUCGAGAGGGGCAUCCUUAUUCUGUGCUGGAUAAAUACCUGGCUUGCUCUCUCAACCACUUAAUACUGACAGCCUACUGGGUACAAUGCACACCUUAGAAAUGUUCCUUUUGCUCUCAGGAUGUGAUUAGCAGCUGUGCUUCCUCCAGAAGUGGUUUGAUAGCAGUGGAGACUUGUUCCUGGGACUUGAGGAAUCCUGUAAUGGCAGAACUACAGGGAAAAACAGUAAAG